CAGCAGCCGCGGGAAUACGUAGGUGGCAAGCGUUGUCCGGAAUUAUUGGGCGUAAAGGGCUCGCAGGCGGUUUCUUAAGUCUGAUGUGAAAGCCCCCGGCUCAACCGGGGAGGGUCAUUGGAAACUGGGAAACUUGAGUGCAGAAGAGGAGAGUGGAAUUCCACGUGUAGCGGUGAAAUGCGUAGAGAUGUGGAGGAACACCAGUGGCGAAGGCGACUCUCUGGUCCGUAACUGACGCUGAGGAGCGAAAGCGUGGGAGCGAACAGGAUUAGAUACCCGUGUAGUCCCUGUCUCUUAUACA
RNAcentral lists this ribosomal RNA (301 nucleotides) under uncultured bacterium. RNAcentral describes it as "partial 16S ribosomal RNA". It matches the Rfam family "Bacterial small subunit ribosomal RNA", at positions 509 to 808 of the family's 1533-position model. The record is from RNAcentral.